This 250-nucleotide ribosomal RNA is filed under the name uncultured bacterium. RNAcentral's name for it is "partial 16S ribosomal RNA". It matches the Rfam family "Bacterial small subunit ribosomal RNA", at positions 338 to 604 of the family's 1533-position model. The record is from RNAcentral.
CCUACAGGGGGGCAGCAGUGGGGAAUAUUGCACAAUGGGGGAAACCCUGACGCAGCGACGCCGCGUGAGUGAAGAUGUAUUUCGGUAUGUAAAGCUCUAUCAGCAGGGAAGAGAAUGACGGUACCUGAGUAAGAAGCCCCGGCUAACUACGUGCCAGCAGCCGCGGUAAUACGUAGGGGGCAAGCGUUAUCCGGAUUUACUGGGUGUAAAGGGAGCGUAGACGGCGAAGAAAGUAUGAAGUGAAAGCCCG